This 24-nucleotide unclassified non-coding RNA is filed under the name Dictyostelium discoideum. The record is from RNAcentral. Lineage: Eukaryota; Evosea; Eumycetozoa; Dictyosteliales; Dictyosteliaceae.
CUGAAACCAUGGUUGUAACGGGUA